UGAGGGGCUAUUUUAAAUCUUAGAGCAG
RNAcentral lists this non-coding RNA (28 nucleotides) under Mus musculus (house mouse). Lineage: Eukaryota; Metazoa; Chordata; Mammalia; Rodentia; Muridae. The record is from RNAcentral.